CCUACGGGAGGCAGCAGUGGGGAAUAUUGCACAAUGGGCGCAAGCCUGAUGCAGCCAUGCCGCGUGUGUGAAGAAGGCCUUCGGGUUGUAAAGCACUUUCAGCGGGGAGGAAGGCGUUAAGGUUAAUAACCUUGUCGAUUGACGUUACCCGCAGAAGAAGCACCGGCUAACUCCGUGCCAGCAGCCGCGGUAAUACGGAGGGUGCAAGCGUUAAUCGGAAUUACUGGGCGUAAAGCGCACGCAGGCGGUCUGUCAAGUCGGAUGUGAAAUCCCCGGGCUCAACCUGGGAACUGCAUUCGAAACUGGCAGGCUAGAGUCGUGUAGAGGGGGGUAGAAUUCCAGGUGUAGCGGUGAAAUGCGUAGAGAUCUGGAGGAAUACCGGUGGCGAAGGCGGCCCCCUGGACAAAGACUGACGCUCAGGUGCGAAAGCGUGGGGAGCAAACAGGAUUAGAUACCCGGGUAGUC
RNAcentral lists this ribosomal RNA (465 nucleotides) under uncultured Klebsiella sp. RNAcentral's name for it is "bacterial SSU rRNA". It matches the Rfam family "Bacterial small subunit ribosomal RNA", at positions 338 to 795 of the family's 1533-position model. Lineage: Bacteria; Pseudomonadati; Pseudomonadota; Gammaproteobacteria; Enterobacterales; Enterobacteriaceae. The record is from RNAcentral.